This 2954-nucleotide long non-coding RNA is filed under the name Heterocephalus glaber (naked mole-rat). RNAcentral's name for it is "lncRNA (ENSHGLG00000046956.1)". The record is from RNAcentral. Lineage: Eukaryota; Metazoa; Chordata; Mammalia; Rodentia; Bathyergidae.
CAGGAGGGCUUUUUCUGUGGCUCUAGCAAUAAAUAGUCGCUGGCGUUUACAGAGUGCCCGGCAAGGUCCAGUGUUCAAAGGUCAGUGGACUAUGCCCCAGGCACCCGCUAGAGGGCACCAGAGUCAGGCCCUCUCUCCACCAACCCACGGCGGUUUCCAGAGCUCGCUGCGCCCGGGUUCUGACGCUGUGUAAGGCGGCGGCUCUCAGCCAAGCCGCCGCUCAGUUCCAACUACGAGACGCUUGGCACUUGUGUUUGGCUAAACAAGCAAUCAGAAUGACUUCAAUCCAAAGCCUAACUGGAAAAAUUACUCACGACAGUAUUGACAAAGAAGUCUUAGAAAAGGAGGACCUCCGCAGAAGAGAGAACCCAGGGCCAGCCGCAGAAGAGGAGAGAUUUACCAUACUGGAUGCAUACCCGAAAGGUUGAUUUUAAUCCUUCAUCCCCAAGUUAUACUAACACGGAGCUAUUAAUUUUUUGUCCCUGCUUCCACAGCCAGUGUGGGAAGGGGUACGCUGUGGGAGGCCUUGGGUUGGGGCACCCUUCGAGUGCUUUCUAGUGCGCUGCGGCAAUGGCGCAAAGUGCGGGUGCGCGUGUAUGCCAGAGAGACAGCGGCCCAGGACCAGUGAGAAGGGAGAGGGCGCAUCUGCAAGUCCCGCGAAGCUCGCGUGAGGUCUGCCACCUGCAAGUCACUUUGGGAGAGGCUCGUCCGUCCCUUGUUUCUCAGGAACAGCAAAGGAAAGUUAGGACAGGCACCGAGGGGUGGUCCGGAAGGGGUCCAAAUACCUACCGCUCCUCCCCCACCUCGAUGAAGAUGUCACCUGCAGCCACACACAGCUUGCUGCCCUGGACAAGGGAGCCGUGUGCUGUGUGGACAGGGACUGUUGGGUCACCCCGGAUCUGCCUUCUGGGCCGCUUCCCAUGGGCUGUUCCGCUUUCGAUGGGAAGUUCCAGUGCUGAUUUGUGAAAGCAGUGUGGACGGACUAUGGCAAGUUUGGAACUUUGACUCUGUCACCACAUGAACCCUUACAGUUCUACCUAGUUUCAGGGCCACUGGAAAGUAUUUCAGACACAAGGAGUGAACAGGAAAAAAUAAAUACAUGGCCCAAACCAGAAAGCAUGAUUCAAACACUGUGCUCAGGACCAAGGAAAUGGGAUCCCUGAGGUCAUCUGGGAAGCGGUCUCGAGAUGUUACGUGAUCCUGUCCCAAUGUGCUCCUCCUACCGGCCCAAAGCAAUGGUCCUACCAACCCCGGGCGGAAAUCUCCAGCUAACCUUUCAGUUUAUACAUUUAUUAUCUCGUUUUUCCUUAGAGGGACAUGAAGCUGACGAACAACAAAAAUGUUUUUCUCAAAAUUAAAAAGUCAUUAAAUUAUAUCCUGGAGUGACAUAAAGUCAGAUUGCUGGUGGUUUCUAAUGGUAGGAUUAUGGGCUAUUUAAGUUUCCUCUUUGCAUUUUCCUGUUUCCCAAAUUUCUGCAAGUAUUUGUAUCUGAUAACAGAAAUUAUGCAUACAGCAUUUUCACUCUUCUGUUAAGGUAGUAGCUCUACCCUGGAGACCUUUUCCAUGGGCUGAGAUCGGGCUGAGCAGGUCCACUCUGCUGAGGGGGACAAAUGUCAGUCUAGGCCAGGAAAAGGAGGGGCUUGGACCAGAAUAGAAGAAAUGGAAACCAGCUCACCUGACCAGCAGUUCUCAGGCCCCAGUGAGGGCCCCGGGAAAUCCCAGGCCAUGGUCCUGGUCCAGAGAGGUCUUCCCGGAGCAUGGCUGAACCUCAGGCCCUUGACUUAUUUUUCACAUUAUUUUAAAUCUAUUCUCCAGAAAAAUGCAUAUUUUUGGUAGAAAAGUUGCAUAUAGAGAAAACACAAGGAAAAACCACCACACAUACUUCCAUCACCCAAACUAACCAACAUUCCCAUUGUUGUACACAUUUCCCAUCUUCUCUUUUAACUCAAAAUCAGGAUUAUAUUGUAAAUAAUAUUUGAUAAACUUUCAUCUUUUUAUUUUUAUUUUAAAUAAAAUAGGUUUGUUGAGACAGAGUCUCGCUAUGUAAUUCAGGCUGGCCUUGGAUUCACAGCAAUUCUCCUGCCUCAGCCUCUUGAGUGCUGGGAUUACAGGUGUGGGCCACCACACCUGGCAUUAUUUUGAAAAUUUUCAAACCUACAGAAAUGAACCUUCACCUAGAUUCACCAGUUGUUAAUGUUUUAUCUCUCUCCCCAUAAAUAUUUUCCUAGAUUUCACCAUCUGUUAAAUUUUAACUGUGUCUAUAAAUAUUUUCCCAGGCCACUUGAAAAGAAGUUGUAAAUUUGGGAACAAAAGGUUGUCCUAAUUAAAAAAGAAAGAAAGAAGUUGUAGACAUUAUGAUACUUUCUCCUAAAUUCUUCAGCUGUGUCUAAGAGGAAGUCAUCAAGGGCUAGAAUAGAAAGCCCCCACGUGAAGAAUAGCCCAGGCUUGUCCGAAAAUCUUUACUAGGGGGCGGUCUCCUUCUCCGACUUCUCUCUGCCGCCCCCCAGGACUCAGGAGACAGACUUCUCUCCCGAGGAACGAGCCAGCUUCCUCCCGGCAGCCUGGCACCACGUAGGAAGGGCAUAACUGUAGCAGCUCGGAGGGCGGGGGGUGCAGCUCGGUGGCAGAGCGCUUGCUUAGCUUGCUCAAGGCCUGGGUUCCAUCCCCCAGUACCCUUCCCCUCCAAAGGAAAGGAAAGGAGAGGAGGGGAGGGGAGGAGAGAAGCGGAAGGGAGAGGAGACAGGUUAAAUGCUGAGCUGCAAAGCAAAGAUGAUCUGUGCUGCCACCUAGUGGUGAUAUCUAGAAUUCCCCCAGGUAUUUUGUUUUUGAGGCAGGGUCUCCCUGUGUAGUCUAGGCUGGCCUUGCCCUCACUAUGCAGUCCAGGCUGGCCUCGAACUCGUGAUGACCCUCCGUGCGCCUCCACAUCGGGCUCCCCCAGGCAUUUUGGAUUAACA